Long non-coding RNA from Taeniopygia guttata (zebra finch), 4208 nucleotides. NCBI's taxonomy places the organism in Eukaryota, Metazoa, Chordata, Aves, Passeriformes, Estrildidae. The record is from Ensembl.
AAAUUCAGAUAAAUUAAGAAGACAAAGCAAAUAGAAAGAAAUUAAGCACAUACAUGCACACAACCAGAAGCAAGAGAGCUCUUUGCUAGCAGCCUCUCCUGUUCACUGAUACACAAUAUUAUGUUCAUGGAUACUUUACACAUGUAAAAUUAAAAUAUACAGAAUAUAUAUAAACAACAGGAAUAUAUGUAUAAAUGAAUGUAAAUAUAAUUAUAAUUAUUUAAAUAUAUUUUUAUAUAAAUAAAGGGAAUUUCCCAAAUAAAGGGAAUAUAAAUAAAUCUGUAUAUUUAUACAACAAAUAUAAAGGUGUGGUUUAUCAUAUGACAUUAAAAUUACUUCAGAACUGACAUAUUCUCUCCCCAAAAUCAUGUAAACUUUCAUGGCAUUACAGAAUCAUGUGAUAAAGUAGGACAAGAGGGAGUGCUAAAAUUAGGAAGGGGAAUGGCUCUGUGUGCAGCUUUCCUUGGGACUGGCCUAAGUGAAAAAUGAUCACCGAUGAAGCCUGUGCCAGUCAGAGAGGAAAGAGCUCCCUGGGGUGGGAAUUCUGUCUGCACUGCUGUCCCACAGGGAGCCAGGCUUAGCACAAAGCCCUGGAAUAAUUCAUUAGCUCUCACCAAGACUGCAGGAGUUAAAGGAAAUUCUUGUGUCACUUUACACUCCAGCCCACAGGAAUUCCAAACCUUCCAGUGAGAGAGUGGGUUUAAUUUGUUGUCUUUCAGUGAAAAUCUGAUCACAUGUUACAUCCCUCAUCCCAAAACUGUUCCCAAAAAUGCCUGAGGUCCAACACACCUUGGACAGGUGUUGUAGGUAAAACCCCAACACUGUCUGUGCCCUUACAUGCUGACUAAUCUUAGAAUCAUUAAUGUUGGAAAACACCUCCAAGAUCACCGAGUUCAACCUUAAAUUUCAGCUUCUCUGCAGUUCUCAUGGAUUCCUUCCAGAAGCUGCAGCUCCAACUGUUCUGCAAACACGGAUCUCUCUGCCUGGCUGGAGACACCUCCCUGUCCAAACAGCACGUUCACCACUCUGCAGCCCCUGCAGGAGAUCUGCUUUCUUUCCUUCUCUUGGGAGGCACUUUUUUGUGGAAUUGAGAGCCCCUCUAAGCCUUUCUUGUUUAAAAUGGAGUCCGAGGGAAUGAUUUUCACAAGGGGGAAACUGAGUUUUGUAAUUCCCGAAAAUCUGAGUCACUGCUACCCACUGCCAGUUGCCACUUUAGGAGCUCAGUCUGGCAACUGUGUCCCAGUGGGCAGAGGAAGUGGGAAAUAUUUGGGCAUUGUCCAGGAGGAGAAGUUCUCCACAAACACUUCCGGCUGUUCCAGCAGUGGACGGGAAUGCAGCGUGUGUUGUCCAGGUUUUGGGAAAGCCUCGUGCCUGGACAGGCUGGAAGUGCACAGUAGUGCCUGGGCUGAACGUGGCUUUGCUGCCAAUGCCAUUAAUUCCUGAUUUCAUGCAGAAUUCUGCCAUCCCUGCCCUGUCCUGAGGCGCUUUCCCUCCCAAAUGAAGCUGCAAACUGCAGCUUCCCUGCUGGGCAGCUGUCUCACCAGGACUUUUCAGCUGAUCUACCUGGAAAAAGCUGAGCUGAUAAAGACCCAGACCAGGCUGGAAAGGAAGAGGAACCACCUUCCCACAGAGAUCCCAGUGUGUGGCUGGACUGAAGCUCCUGGUGCUGUCCAGGCUCCCCAGUCUCUCAGAUUUCUCCUUUCAGGGGAGAUGAGUGUUGGCAAUGAACACCAGUCUGUGGUGCCUCUCUCCAGAACUCUGCCUGCUCCUGGUUUUAAGGAAAACCUGAGAAAAUUUCAGCUACUUUGACAGAAAAUGGUUGACUGGAACUUCCCUGCAUCCUGGCAGGAUCCAUCUGUAUUUGAAGAGGACAAAUAUCUCUAUAGCAACCCCUGUUUGUCACUUGGGCUCUUCCUAAGGCGCUGGGUGUGCUCCCUGUCAGGUGCUGCACACCUGAGGUCCCCUUGGUCACCACCCCUGACUAUUUUAGAAACAAUUGUCUCAGUAUUUUAGCACCAGCACCAUGGAUGGUUCAGGCCCCCUGAGCCAUUUAGAGCAGGUUCCUCCACACCCAGGCAGUCACAGUGAGCCUGUGCCCGGCCUCUGCCUUCUGGCAAGCUGGGCAAGAGUGAAUUCACUAAAAAAUGUUUACACUGCGCCCAAUUAUGGCAACAUUUGGAGUGGGGAGCCGUCCCCAAAAGAGGAAAGAUAGAAAAUAAAAAUGUAAUCACAUGCAAAAGCCCAGCAAGACAGAAAUUAGAAAGGGAGAAUAAAAUCCCCCUUCCUGAGGGAUACUACAGCAGGCAGCAGAAUUCCAGAGGCAGGAGCUGGCUGGCUGCUGCUCCUGGUUUUGUCAUGAAGGGCAGGACAGCAUCCCUGGCUGAGGGACCCCUGGCUGCUGCUGCCAGCAGGGACCAGGGGGAAAACUCAUCUUUGUGCAGAUGCUCUUGGAAGGCAGAGGGAGAGAAGAUGCAACCCCCUCAGCAGAAGCCCUGACAGAGGAGGUGUUUCUUCCUGCUCGCAGAGCAUCCUGCGGUGUGACCCUUCCAGGCUGCUGUUUUCCAGCAUUCCCAGCAUGCUGCUGCUCCACUUCCUUCCAAUCUGUGCUCCUGGAGGUGUUCAGGAUAGCUCUUCCCAUAAGGAAUGCUGCUUUCCCCACGUCCUCUGCAACAAGGGUGGUGCUCUGCCAGCCCAGCAGAGUCCCUCACUCAGGGCCACUUUCUGCUCCUCACAAAAGCCCAUAAUCUAGAAUUUCUGUGGAUUUUUGCCUUUUUCAGGAAACUGAACUGAGCAUGUGAGAGACAACCAGUACCAGCCAGAGCAGCUGCUGUGCUUUUCCUGGUUCUCUCAUGAAAUGAGAUUUAAGAAGCUGGUGUCUACUCCUGGCUGGAUCCCUCUGGUAUACAAAGGAAUAAUUAAUGAAAAAUAAGUAAUCUGCAUUUAUGGGCUCCUUUUGCAGACAAUACUUGAUUAAUCUCCACAGUCAUCUACCCAAAUAAGAGGAGAUUGACAUCUUAAUCUGUCAUAAAUCAAACAGGCAGGGAGCCUGACAGACAAACAGCACAGAGCCUACCUUUGGGUUUAGCCUACAUUAUUCUAAAUCUAAUUUAAGGCAACACCAGGACUCUGAAGAUGGGUUUUAAGGCUGCAUUUCAAGGCACCACAACCCGGGAUGUGUUCCCUGCUUCUCCUACUGCAUCUCCCUGCCAUUGUCACCGAUUCUUGUCACACACAAAGAAAAUCAGCUUCACUCUCUGCUUCAGGCACCAGGGGACGGUGGCACCAGAGGUCCCCAAGCCUGCAGAGCUUUUUUUGGAAAGCCAAGACCUGCCAGCUCCAUGGAGGAGCACCAAGGGCUGGGAUAGUGGGGAAGCAGCUGUUUGCUUUCUGCAGGAAUGCCCCGGCUGUGCUCGGGUUUGGGGGAGGUCGCUGUAAUUUGCAAAUCAAAACCAAACAAAGUCGGACAACGAAAUCUUCUCCGGGGACAUUAUGGAUUUCCUCGGGCUAUAAAAAUGUUGAAGCCUCUAAACAUCUCAGACCUGUUUUCCUGCAUUCCAGGGCUAUAGCCUACCUGUACCCUAAGGCUAAGAUGGAAUCACCGUCUCACACCGAUUCUUCCUGACAUUCACAACUCCUUAAAAAAAAAAAUUCCCUUCCCAAAUUCGCUUUUGGUAAGUAAAGGAAGCAGAUAAGGAAACAGAAAUGGUACUUUUUUCUAAGGAGAAGGUGUGAAAGAUGCAAAUGCACAAGUGUGAAAGACAGACCAGACUCCAAGGUAUUCGUGACUGUUGAUCUUAGCACUAUCAACAUCUUUUUGUCGCAGAUGUCAUCACAGAGGUGAAGUGAGUAGCAACUGUGACUCAGGAUGGCAGCGUGGGCUCUGGCAUGACGGGAGCCGAUUUCUCACUCUCUGCCUGUUCCUGAGCCAUCAGCCUCCAACAGUUUGUUCACAGACUGCUGCCUUCGAGCAGCAUUACAUUCUUAGCUGCCAGGUAAUUUUGUGGGUGUUUACCAAAUCAUGUUGAUGUUCGAUGAAAUUCAAACCCCUUUAAUUGGCAUUUCCUUGUUGGGCACGCAGGAUGAACCAGAUGCAGUGGGGCCAAUACUAAGAGCAUCCUAAGGAGGAAAAUAUCAAUCCACUGUGCAGAAUAUUUGGCAUCAACAGCAUAAUUCCUCCCGAUUUGAGUGGUUUGCCUUGUCUGUGUCCU